RNAcentral lists this long non-coding RNA (326 nucleotides) under Ricinus communis (castor bean). Its description in RNAcentral is "long non-coding RNA (RCOM_LNC001189)". The record is from RNAcentral. Lineage: Eukaryota; Viridiplantae; Streptophyta; Magnoliopsida; Malpighiales; Euphorbiaceae.
GUAGAUCGGGAGAGAGAGAGAGAGGGCGAUGGCCGAAGAAGAAGGGGAGGAAGGCGGCGGCGUGCGUCGUCGGUGGCGACCGUCGGGGGCGUGGAGCGCUGGUCGACGGAGCGGCGUGCGCUGGCGAGCGCAGCGGCGGCGGCAGCAGCAGCUCCAGCGGCGGCGGAAGAGCGCGAAGGCAGCGGCUUCCAAGCGUGUUUCCGGCCGUUUCCGGCGUUGUUGGCGGCCGAGUUGGGUGGCGAUCGGCUCCUCUGGGCGAGAGCUUUCUUUUGGCAGCAGCGGCGACGCCUGUGGUGGCCGGAGACGGAAGAUCCGGUGGAGAGAGA